CUACGGGUCGCUGCAGUAAGGAAUAUUGCGCAAUGGGGGAAACCCUGACGCAGCGACGCCGCGUGGAUGAUGAAGGCCUUAGGGUCGUAAAAUCCUGUCAGGUGGGAAGAAGUGGAUAUAGAUUAAUACUCUAUUUCUUUGACGGUACCACCAAAGGAAGCACCGGCUAACUCCGUGCCAGCAGCCGCGGUAAUACGGAGGGUGCAAACGUUGUUCGGAAUUACUGGGCGUAAAGCGCGCGUAGGCGGUUUGUUAAGUCAGAUGUGAAAGUCCAUGGCUCAACUAGGGAAGUGCAUUUGAAACUGGCAGACUUGAGUACUGGAGGGGGUGAUGGAAUUCCCGGUGUAGAGGUGAAAUUCGUAGAUAUCGGGAGGAAUACCGGUGGCGAAGGCGAUCACCUGGCCAGAUACUGACGCUGAGGUGCGAAAGCGUGGGGAGCAAACAGGAUUAGAUACCCUUGUAGUC
This 465-nucleotide ribosomal RNA is filed under the name uncultured bacterium. RNAcentral's name for it is "partial 16S ribosomal RNA". It matches the Rfam family "Bacterial small subunit ribosomal RNA", at positions 339 to 795 of the family's 1533-position model. The record is from RNAcentral.